Molecule: ribosomal RNA, 500 nt
Filed under: uncultured microorganism
Description: bacterial SSU rRNA
Rfam family: Bacterial small subunit ribosomal RNA
Source: RNAcentral
GAGUUUGAUCCUGGCUCAGGACGAACGCUGGCGGCGUGCCUAAUACAUGCAAGUCGAGCGAGUCUGCCUUGAAGAUCGGAGUGCUUGCACUCUGUGAAACAAGAUACAGGCUAGCGGCGGACGGGGUGAGUAACACGUGGGUAACCUGCCCAAGAGAUCGGGAUAACACCUGGAAACAGAUGCUAAUACCGGAUAACAACAGAUGAUGCCUAUCAACUGUUUAAAAGAUGGUUCUGCUAUCACUCUUGGAUGGACCUGCGGUGCAUUAGCUAGUUGGUAGGGUAACGGCUACCAAGGCGAUGAUGCAUAGCCGAGUUGAGAGACUGAUCGGCCACAUUGGGACUGAGACACGGCCCCAAAACUCCUACGGGAGGCAGCAGUAGGGAAUCUUCCACAAUGGACGCAAGUCUGAUGGAGCAACGCCGCGUGAGUGAAGAAGGGUUUCGGCUCGUAAAGCUCUGUUGUUGGUGAAGAAGGACAGGGGUAGUAACUGACCUUUU